This 245-nucleotide ribosomal RNA is filed under the name uncultured bacterium. Its description in RNAcentral is "partial 16S ribosomal RNA". It matches the Rfam family "Bacterial small subunit ribosomal RNA", at positions 524 to 768 of the family's 1533-position model. The record is from RNAcentral.
UACAGAGGGUGCAAGCGUUAAUUGGAAUGACUGGGCGUAAAGGGCGCGUAGGCGGUGGAAGAAGUAAGAGGUGAAAGACCCGGGCUUAACUUGGGCAGUGCCUCUUAAACUGAUUCACUGGAGUGCAGGAGAGGGGAGUGGAAUUUCCGGAGUAGCGGUAAAAUGCGUAGAGAUCGGAAGGAACACCAGUGGCGAAAGCGGCUCCCUGGACUGACACUGACGCUGAGGCGCGAAGGCGUGGGGAG